GGGUCAUGGAGAGAGAUGGGGACAGAGAAGGGUCAUGGAGAGAGAUGAGGACAGAGAAGGUUAUGGAGAGAGAUGAGGAUAGAGAAGGGUCAUGGAGAGAGAUGAGGACAGAGAAGGUUAUGGAGAGAGAUGAGGACAGAGAAGGUUAUGGAGAGAGAUGAGGACAGAGAAGGUUAUGGAGAGAGAUGAGGACAGAGAAGGGUCAUGGAGAGAGAUGAGGACAGAGAAGGUCAUGGAGAGAGAUGACAGAGAAGGGUCAUGGAGAGAGAUGACAGAGAAGGGUUAUGGAGAGAGAUGGGGACAGAGAAGGGUCAUGGAGAGAGAUGGGGACAGAGAAGGGUCAUGGAGAGAGAUGGAGAGAGAUGAGGACAGAGAAGGUUAUGGAGAGAGAUGAGGACAGAGAAGG
Long non-coding RNA from Oncorhynchus tshawytscha (Chinook salmon), 406 nucleotides. The record is from Ensembl. Lineage: Eukaryota; Metazoa; Chordata; Actinopteri; Salmoniformes; Salmonidae.